GGCCUCAUAGGAUAACUGGUUAUUCCGCAGCCCUGUCACGGCUGAGAUUCCGGGUUCAAGCCCCGGUGGGGUCG
Molecule: transfer RNA, 74 nt
Filed under: Blautia sp. BCRC 81119
Lineage: Bacteria; Bacillati; Bacillota; Clostridia; Lachnospirales; Lachnospiraceae
Also listed under: 1 other name
Description: tRNA-Asp
Rfam family: tRNA
About the family: Transfer RNA (tRNA) molecules are approximately 80 nucleotides in length. Their secondary structure includes four short double-helical elements and three loops (D, anti-codon, and T loops). Further hydrogen bonds mediate the characteristic L-shaped molecular structure. tRNAs have two regions of fundamental functional importance: the anti-codon, which is responsible for specific mRNA codon recognition, and the 3' end, to which the tRNAs corresponding amino acid is attached (by aminoacyl-tRNA synthetases). tRNAs cope with the degeneracy of the genetic code in two manners: having more than one tRNA (with a specific anti-codon) for a particular amino acid; and 'wobble' base-pairing, i.e. permitting non-standard base-pairing at the 3rd anti-codon position.
Source: RNAcentral